Molecule: small RNA, 738 nt
Filed under: Oryza sativa Japonica Group (Japanese rice)
Lineage: Eukaryota; Viridiplantae; Streptophyta; Magnoliopsida; Poales; Poaceae
Description: sRNA Os09g0382200
Source: RNAcentral
UUUUUUUCCCAUUUGUUCUCUUCUUUUGGGGUUUCUUUACACCUUUGUGGGGGCUCUCCCUGCUUGGCCCUAUUGAUCUUUGCCAUCAUGGCAAUGGCAGCCUCUGCACUGCCAGUCUGUGAGGAAGUGAAAAUAUGAAGGUGAGGAGGGAAGACAGAGAGACAGAUAAAAAUUUGUGUUUUUUUUUUUUGGUGCUAUACUCUGUGGGUCUUCAGUCUUCACCUCCCCAAUGCAAAAAAUUGCAGAGAUUGCAUUGAUUACCUUGGUGUGUGAAGCCAUGGAGGAGAAAGAAAAGUAAAAGGAGAGCAAUGCAAUGGCACAUUGCAUUGCAUUGCAGGCAGUGAGAUGGUGGGGGUUAAAUGAGGUGGUCAAGCAAAGGGUCAGAUCUCCUGUCAAAGGUGUAGGCCUUCUCCCUGCCAAGUUCUGUUCAUAUUCAUGAGGGGGAAAUUUGUUUGUUUCCGAGUGGUUUGUUUGUAUUUUGUUGAUGUUACUACUGAAGAUGAAGAGAGAGAGAAUGAGAGAGGGGGCAUGGUGUACUGGGAGGCACAUGCAUGCCCUAGUGUGAUGCUCUGGAGUGAAAUAUUUGUCCAUCUCCGGGCUAACAGUGUCCAAGCAUGAGGCUUUUGGGGGCCCUUGCUAUUUGUUCCAAUUUGUACCCUUUUUUUCCUUGCAUAAAUAAACAUGUUGCCAUUUUAAUUGGCCUGAAAAAAGAUAUAUCAUGAGGAGAGAGUUCAUGUG